AGAACGAACGCUGGCGGCAGGCUUAACACAUGCAAGUCGAGCGCUCGCAGCAAUGCGGGAGCGGCAGACGGGUGAGUAACGCGUGGGAACAUACCCUUCGGUUCGGAAUAGCUCAGGGAAACUUGAAUUAAUACCGGAUACGGCCAGAAGUGAAAAUUUCUGGCGAAAGAUUUAUCGCCGAAGGAUUGGCCCGCGUUCGAUUAGCUAGUUGGUGAGGUAACGGCUCACCAAGGCGACGAUCGAUAGCUGGUCUGAGAGGAUGAUCAGCCACAUUGGGACUGAGACACGGCCCAAACUCCUACGGGAGGCAGCAGUGGGGAAUAUUGGACAAUGGGCGCAAGCCUGAUCCAGCCAUGCCGCGUGAGUGAUGACGGCCUUAGGGUUGUAAAGCUCUUUCGCUAGGGACGAUAAUGACGGUACCUAGACAAGAAGCCCCGGCUAACUUCGUGCCAGCAGCCGC
Molecule: ribosomal RNA, 460 nt
Filed under: uncultured bacterium
Lineage: Bacteria
Description: SSU rRNA
Rfam family: Bacterial small subunit ribosomal RNA
Source: RNAcentral